Molecule: ribosomal RNA, 374 nt
Filed under: uncultured bacterium
Lineage: Bacteria
Description: bacterial SSU rRNA
Rfam family: Bacterial small subunit ribosomal RNA
Source: RNAcentral
AUACGUAGGUGGCGAGCGUUGUCCGGAAUUACUGGGCGUAAAGGGUGCGUAGGCGGCCAUUUAAGUGGGAUGUGAAAUACACAGGCUUAACUUGUGAAUUGCAUUCCAAACUGGAUGGCUAGAGUGCAGGAGAGGAAAGCGGAAUUCCCAGUGUAGCGGUGAAAUGCGUAGAGAUUGGGAGGAACACCAGUGGCGAAGGCGGCUUUCUGGACUGUAACUGACGCUGAUGCACGAAAGCGUGGGGAGCAAACAGGAUUAGAUACCCUGGUAGUCCACGCUGUAAACGAUGGAUACUAGGUGUAGGGGGCGUAGCCUUCUGUGCCGCAGUUAACACAUUAAGUAUCCCGCCUGGGGAGUACGAUCGCAAGAUUAAA